RNAcentral lists this ribosomal RNA (83 nucleotides) under Okeania sp. SIO1H2. RNAcentral describes it as "partial 23S ribosomal RNA". Lineage: Bacteria; Bacillati; Cyanobacteriota; Cyanophyceae; Oscillatoriales; Microcoleaceae. RNAcentral also lists the same sequence under 4 other names. The record is from RNAcentral.
AAGACUACCCGUUGAUAGGUGUUCGGUGGAAAUGCAGUAAUGUAUGCAGCCUAGACACACUAACAGACCGAGGACUUGACCUC